RNAcentral lists this ribosomal RNA (460 nucleotides) under uncultured bacterium. Its description in RNAcentral is "partial 16S ribosomal RNA". It matches the Rfam family "Bacterial small subunit ribosomal RNA", at positions 338 to 795 of the family's 1533-position model. The record is from RNAcentral.
CCUACGGGUGGCAGCAGUGAGGAAUAUUGGUCAAUGGACGAGAGUCUGAACCAGCCAAGUAGCGUGAAUGAUGACUGCCCUAUGGGUUGUAAACUUCUUUUAUAAAGGAAUAAAACGAGGCACGUGUGCCUUUUUGCAUGUACUUUAUGAAUAAGGAUCGGCUAACUCCGUGCCAGCAGCCGCGGUAAUACGUAGGAUCCGAGCGUUAUCCGGAUUUAUUGGGUUUAAAGGGAGCGUAGAUGGGUUGUUAAGUCAGUUGUGAAAGUUUGCGGUUCAACCGUAAAAUUGCAAUUGAUACUGGCAGUCGUGAGUACAGUUGAGGUAGGCGGAAUUCGUGGUGUAGCGGUGAAAUGCUUAGAUAUCACGAAGAACUCCGAUUGCGAAGGCAGCUUACUAAACUGCCACUGACAUUGAUGCUCGAAAGUGUGGGUAUCAAACAGGAUUAGAUACCCUGGUAGUC